RNAcentral lists this ribosomal RNA (497 nucleotides) under uncultured bacterium. RNAcentral's name for it is "partial 16S ribosomal RNA". It matches the Rfam family "Bacterial small subunit ribosomal RNA", at positions 28 to 507 of the family's 1533-position model. The record is from RNAcentral.
GAUGAACGCUGGCGGCGUGCCUAAUACAUGCAAGUCGAGCGAACAGACGAGGAGCUUGCUCCUCUGACGUUAGCGGCGGACGGGUGAGUAACACGUGGAUAACCUACCUAUAAGACUGGGAUAACUUCGGGAAACCGGAGCUAAUACCGGAUAAUAUAUUGAACCGCAUGGUUCAAUAGUGAAAGACGGUUUUGCUGUCACUUAUUGAUGGAUCCGCGCCGCAUUAGCUAGUUGGUAAGGUAACGGCUUACCAAGGCAACGAUGCGUAGCCGACCUGAGAGGGUGAUCGGCCACACUGGAACUGAGACACGGUCCAGACUCCUACGGGAGGUAGCAGUAGGGAAUCUUCCGCAAUGGGCGAAAGCCUGACGGAGCAACGCCGCGUGAGUGAUGAAGGUCUUCGGAUCGUAAAACUCUGUUAUUAGGGAAGAACAAAUGUGUAAGUAACUAUGCACGUCUUGACGGUACCUAAUCAGAAAGCCACGGCUAACUACGUG